This 461-nucleotide long non-coding RNA is filed under the name Nicotiana benthamiana. RNAcentral describes it as "long non-coding RNA (NBEN_LNC030073)". Lineage: Eukaryota; Viridiplantae; Streptophyta; Magnoliopsida; Solanales; Solanaceae. The record is from RNAcentral.
AGCAAACUACUGUCAUAUUUCCAAAUUUAAGUUCCCUAAUAAUGCAUGAACUUAUGAACUAGAUAAGUUUGAGUGGAGAAACACAGAGAAUCUGAUGGAGUAAGAAUUCCCAGAUAAAGAAUUAGAAAUCCAAAUGUUUCACCAAGAAAUUCAAUCAAAGAAGAAACCUGUAGCACUUGAGAGGCAUGUCUUUGAGCUGCUGCAUCUUGUUCAGCGGCUAUACGAGCAUCUUCCGUUACCCUCUGUUCUUGCUCCACCCUCAUCAAAACCUACAAAAAUUAAAUAAAUAAACCCAAAAUCGAAAGAAAGUAUAUACGAGCAUCUUCUGUUACCCUCUGUUCUUGCUCCACCCUCAUCAAAACCUACAAAAAUUAAAUAAAUAAACCCAAAAUUGAAAGAAAGGGGGAUUAGGAGAUAAUGUUCCAAUACAUCAUCAAACAAGCAAUGAAAAUUGUCACCUG